Molecule: non-coding RNA, 68 nt
Organism: Trichonephila clavata
Lineage: Eukaryota; Metazoa; Arthropoda; Arachnida; Araneae; Nephilidae
Source: the annotation of a GenBank genome assembly
CUAGCGUAAUGGAAAACGCAUUGGAUUUCUAAUCCAAAGGUCGUGGUUUCGAAUCCCACUUCUUGCGA